GGUUAAGUUAGAAAGGGCGCACGGUGGAUGCCUUGACACUAGGAGUCGAUGAAGGACGGGACUAACGCCGAUAUGCUUCGGGGAGCUGUAAGUAAGCUUUGAUCCGAAGAUUUCCGAAUGGGGAAACCCACCAUACGUAAUGGUAUGGUAUCCUUAUCUGAAUACAUAGGGUAAGGAAGACAGACCCAGGGAACUGAAACAUCUAAGUACCUGGAGGAAGAGAAAGCAAAUGCGAUUUCCUGAGUAGCGGCGAGCGAAACGGAACAUAGCCCAAACCAAGAGGCUUGCCUCUUGGGGUUGUAGGACAUUCUAUACGGAGUUACAAAGGAACGAGGUAGACGAAGCGACCUGGAAAGGUCCGUCGUAGAGGGUAACAACCCCGUAGUCGAAACUUCGUUCUCUCUUGAAUGUAUCCUGAGUACGG
This 424-nucleotide ribosomal RNA is filed under the name Salmonella enterica subsp. enterica serovar Agona. Its description in RNAcentral is "partial 23S ribosomal RNA". It matches the Rfam family "Bacterial large subunit ribosomal RNA", at positions 1 to 417 of the family's 2925-position model. Lineage: Bacteria; Pseudomonadati; Pseudomonadota; Gammaproteobacteria; Enterobacterales; Enterobacteriaceae. The record is from RNAcentral.